UUAAAAACUAUCAAUUAAUAUCGACGUUGAUUCCACGUUAAUUCAACGUCUAUAUAACAAGUUCGACCGUUCGUAUUGCAUUUUGAAAUCUCAAAUACGCAUGAGUGACUUUACUAAUUAUUCAUAAGGCCUUAUGAAGCCUUUUUAAAAAGUUAACGUAAUAUUGUUUAAUUUCACAAUUUAACAAUAUCACAUGAUUUAACUUGGAAUGCAGUUAGAUAAAUAUUAAAUAGAUAUAUUUUUAUGACGUAAUAUUGGCAACAUUUCAUGAGUGUAAAUUACAAGUAGAUUUUGCUUAAAUUUUUCUUACAGUUUUUUAAAACGCACCGGAACGGCGCACAGUGGAAAAUAAUGGUCUGUUUUAGAUCAAAAAUCAAUAACUUUUUUGUUACUAAAGAUAAAGUGUUGAAAUUUUGCACAAAUGUAUAAUAGUAUAUGGGGCUUCUAAGGAAAUAUUUUUUAUAAAAAAAAGUUUAAUAAAAAACUCGCAAAUAAAAAUCAAAAA
Molecule: long non-coding RNA, 505 nt
Organism: Hydra vulgaris (swiftwater hydra)
Lineage: Eukaryota; Metazoa; Cnidaria; Hydrozoa; Anthoathecata; Hydridae
Source: RefSeq, a predicted model, not a curated record